UUGCUCGGAAUCACUGGGCGUAAAGGGCGUGUAGGCGGAUUUGCAAGUCAGGCGUGAAAUCUCUGGGCUCAACCCAGGAAUUGCACUUGAAACUGCAAGCCUUGAGUGUCGGAGAGGAAAGUGGAAUUCCUGGUGUAGAGGUGAAAUUCGUAGAUAUCAGGAGGAACACCGGUGGCGAAGGCGGCUUUCUGGACGACAACUGACGCUGAGACGCGAAAGCGUGGGGAGCAAACAGG
RNAcentral lists this ribosomal RNA (236 nucleotides) under uncultured bacterium. RNAcentral's name for it is "partial 16S ribosomal RNA". It matches the Rfam family "Bacterial small subunit ribosomal RNA", at positions 541 to 776 of the family's 1533-position model. The record is from RNAcentral.